Molecule: transfer RNA, 71 nt
Filed under: Hebardina formosana
Lineage: Eukaryota; Metazoa; Arthropoda; Insecta; Blattodea; Blattidae
Description: tRNA-Val
Source: RNAcentral
CGGAUUAAAUCUUUAUAGGUAAGAAUUUCAUUUACACUGAAAAUUAUAUUGUGCAACUCAGUAUGAUCUGA